UACAGAGGUCCCAAGCGUUGUUCGGAUUCAUUGGGCGUAAAGGGUGCGUAGGCGGCGUGGCAAGUCGGGUGUGAAAUCUCGGAGCUUAACUCCGAAACUGCAUUCGAUACUGCCGUGCUUGAGGACUGGAGAGGAGACUGGAAUUUACGGUGUAGCGGUGAAAUGCGUAGAUAUCGUAAGGAAGACCAGUGGCGAAGGCGGGUCUCUGGACAGUUCCUGACGCUGAGGCACGAAGGCCAGGGGAGCAAACGGG
This 253-nucleotide ribosomal RNA is filed under the name uncultured bacterium. RNAcentral describes it as "partial 16S ribosomal RNA". It matches the Rfam family "Bacterial small subunit ribosomal RNA", at positions 524 to 776 of the family's 1533-position model. The record is from RNAcentral.